UACGUAGGGUGCGAGCGUUGCUCGGAAUUACUGGGCGUAAAGGGCGCGUAGGCGGGAUGGCAAGUCGGUCGUGAAAUCCCUCGGCUCAACCGAGGAACGUCGAUCGAUACUGCUGUUCUUGAGGAUUGCAGAGGAGACUGGAAUUCCCGGUGUAGCGGUGAAAUGUGUAGAGAUCGGGAGGAACACCGGUGGCGAAGGCGGGUCUCUGGGCAAUUCCUGACGCUGAGGCGCGAAAGCGUGGGGAGCAAACGGG
RNAcentral lists this ribosomal RNA (253 nucleotides) under uncultured bacterium. Its description in RNAcentral is "partial 16S ribosomal RNA". It matches the Rfam family "Bacterial small subunit ribosomal RNA", at positions 524 to 776 of the family's 1533-position model. The record is from RNAcentral.